Molecule: unclassified non-coding RNA, 263 nt
Filed under: Hevea brasiliensis (rubber tree)
Lineage: Eukaryota; Viridiplantae; Streptophyta; Magnoliopsida; Malpighiales; Euphorbiaceae
Source: RNAcentral
ACAGCAAAUCCAGAUGUUGCCAUCUUGAGUGUCUCAAUGGUGUAUUCAAUGAAUGAGGGUGAAUCAUCAACUUCGUUCCUCUCCUCAUUUUCCUCAUUUUGGCCCUCAGGAACUGAUCCAUCAAUCUCAGAAGUCCAACAACAGGCAGAGAGCUUUGAACACUCACAGCCCAUCACGACACCAAAAUUUGGAAUUAAACACUAAUUAGUCCCAAAGCCUAAAAAAUUAUAAAAUCUUAUCCAGCUCAAUCACUUCAUCCAGAU